GAGGAACCCGGUGUGAAUCCGGGGCGGUCCCGCCACUGUCACCGGGGAGCGACUCCUCACCUGAGGUCACGGCCGGGCAACCGGUGGGAAGGCCGGGGAGAAGCGACGAUCCGGGAGCCAGGACACUC
Molecule: non-coding RNA, 128 nt
Filed under: Actinomycetota bacterium
Lineage: Bacteria; Bacillati; Actinomycetota
Source: RNAcentral